GGUAUAGUUAGCUUGCUAACUAGAGACCGGCGCACGGGUGCGUAACGCGUAUGCAAUCUACCUUGUUCAAAGGGAUAGCCCAGAGAAAUUUGGAUUAAUACCUUAUAGUAUUAUAAAGUGGCAUCAUUUAAUAAUUAAAGAUUUAUCGGAACAAGAUGAGCAUGCGUCCCAUUAGCUAGUUGGUAUGGUAACGGCAUACCAAGGCAAUGAUGGGUAGGGGUCCUGGGAGGGAGAUCCCCCACACUGGUACUGAGACACGGACCAGACUCCUACGGGAGGCAGCAGUGAGGAAUAUUGGACAAUGGGCGCAAGCCUGAUCCAGCCAUGCCGCGUGCAGGAAGACGGUCCUAUGGAUUGUAAACUGCUUUUAUACAGGAAGAAACACCCCGACGUGUCGGGACUUGACGGUACUGUAGGAAUAAGGAUCGGCUAACUCCGUGCCAGCAGCCGCGGUAAUACGGAGGAUCCAAGCGUUAUCCGGAAUCAUUGGGUUUAAAGGGUCCGUAGGCGGCCUUAUAAGUCAGUGGUGAAAUCUCCCAGCUCAACUGGGAAACUGCCAUUGAUACUGUAGGGCUUGAAUUAUUAGGAAGUAACUAGAAUAUGUAGUGUAGCGGUGAAAU
RNAcentral lists this ribosomal RNA (620 nucleotides) under uncultured Flavobacterium sp. RNAcentral describes it as "bacterial SSU rRNA". It matches the Rfam family "Bacterial small subunit ribosomal RNA", at positions 67 to 687 of the family's 1533-position model. Lineage: Bacteria; Pseudomonadati; Bacteroidota; Flavobacteriia; Flavobacteriales; Flavobacteriaceae. The record is from RNAcentral.